This 270-nucleotide ribosomal RNA is filed under the name uncultured archaeon. Its description in RNAcentral is "partial 16S ribosomal RNA". It matches the Rfam family "Archaeal small subunit ribosomal RNA", at positions 477 to 747 of the family's 1478-position model. The record is from RNAcentral.
CAGCACCUCAAGUGGUCAGGAUGAUUAUUGGGCCUAAAGCAUCCGUAGCCGGCUCUGUAAGUUUUCGGUUAAAUCUGUAUGCUCAACAUACAGGCUGCCGGGAAUACUGCAGAGCUAGGGAGUGGGAGAGGUAGACGGUACUCGGUAGGAAGGGGUAAAAUCCUUUGAUCUAUUGAUGACCACCUGUGGCGAAGGCGGUCUACCAGAACACGUCCGACGGUGAGGGAUGAAAGCUGGGGGAGCAAACCGGAUUAGAUACCCGUGUAGUCC